Molecule: small nucleolar RNA, 80 nt
Filed under: Olea europaea subsp. europaea
Lineage: Eukaryota; Viridiplantae; Streptophyta; Magnoliopsida; Lamiales; Oleaceae
Description: Small nucleolar RNA SNORD24
Rfam family: Small nucleolar RNA SNORD24
About the family: U24 is a member of the C/D class of snoRNA which contain the C (UGAUGA) and D (CUGA) box motifs.
Source: Rfam by way of RNAcentral
GGCCGAUGAUGUAAGAAAAUUUUGCUGCUCUCGAUGUGAUUAAUCCUAUCCGAUUCAUUUCCACCAAGAUCUCUGAGGUU